RNAcentral lists this ribosomal RNA (497 nucleotides) under uncultured bacterium. Its description in RNAcentral is "partial 16S ribosomal RNA". It matches the Rfam family "Bacterial small subunit ribosomal RNA", at positions 28 to 507 of the family's 1533-position model. The record is from RNAcentral.
GAUGAACGCUGGCGGCGUGCCUAAUACAUGCAAGUCGAGCGAACAGACGAGGAGCUUGCUCCUCUGACGUUAGCGGCGGACGGGUGAGUAACACGUGGAUAACCUACCUAUAAGACUGGGAUAACUUCGGGAAACCGGAGCUAAUACCGGAUAAUAUAUUGAACCGCAUGGUUCAAUAGUGAAAGACGGCUUUGCUGUCCCUUUUAGAUGGAUCCGCGCUGCAUUAGCUAGUUGGUAAGGUAACGGCUUACCAAGGCAACGAUGCGUAGCCGACCUGAGAGGGUGAUCGGCCACACUGGAACUGAGACACGGUCCAGACUCCUACGGGAGGCAGCAGUAGGGAAUCUUCCGCAAUGGGCGAAAGCCUGACGGAGCAACGCCGCGUGAGUGAUGAAGGUCUUCGGAUCGUAAAACUCUGUUAUUAGGGAAGAACAAAUGUGUAAGUAACUAUGCACAUCUUGACGGUACCUAAUCAGAAAGCCACGGCUAACUACGUG